Molecule: transfer RNA, 81 nt
Filed under: Clostridia bacterium
Lineage: Bacteria; Bacillati; Bacillota; Clostridia
Description: tRNA-Leu
Rfam family: tRNA
About the family: Transfer RNA (tRNA) molecules are approximately 80 nucleotides in length. Their secondary structure includes four short double-helical elements and three loops (D, anti-codon, and T loops).
Source: RNAcentral
CGGAUGUGGUGGAAUUGGCAGACACGCUGGAUUUAGGUUCCAGUGCUGUACGGCAUGCAGGUUCAAGUCCUGUCAUCCGAA